GGGGGGUAAUUUGUAUGAAAGGAUGCAAUGGAUUUUAUUUAAUGUAAAAGAAAGAAAGAAAACACUGCACUUAAAAUGAUGGACUCUUACGUUACUAAUCUCUGUAAUGUGAUGCACGGUACGUCAUACAAUCAUGUGAAAAGAAAUACAGUUCAAAGAGCUGUUUCAUCACCUCACUUCUAAAGAUUGAAUAUUUGAGCCUGAGCUCGUCUUCAUAAGUUGCUAAUUAAAGUGAAGGACCUCCAAUCUCAGUAGCAGCUUUUAUUAAAUCAAGACUCAUCAAAUGAGCUGUACACAUCUUUUGUGAAGCAUAUUAGUUCGAACACGAGCUCCCUCCUCAUAGCAAAUGAGAAUUCACGGCUUUUUUCAUUCUGUUGUUAUUACCGGUCCAUCUGAAGAGCCUCGAUGCUCCUCUGCGUGCUGUAUUCUGUGGCGCCUGUUUGAAAGUGCUUCAGAGAAAACCACUCCAGGCUAAUCAAAGGGAGGACGUUUGAUGGAUGGCGUUGUCCAACAGGGCGAACAUUUAUUUCAUCAGACCUCCCGGUCACAGCAUCACUUCCCUCAGAACUGCCUGAACGUGUGACAUCUGCCAACCGUCUUCAUUGGGCUUCACGGAGCACAACCUGGUGUUCAGUGCACUCAGCUUACACAAGCUGACCGAGGGCCCGUGGCCCGGGAGGACACGCGUGUGCAUGUCACAGGCCCUCUGAAAAAAGGGAUGCAAGAGUUUAGUCUUCCUCGCUGAUCCUAUUCAACCAGAGUUUGAUUUUCCCAAAUGUUGGACAUUCAAUUAAAAAAUAGUUAUUAAUAAUGAAUGCAUGGUGAAAGGGAAUGUGUGUAUACAUUUCUCUCCAAAUUAAGAUUUACAUCCUCAAUAUACUGUAUUUAAUUCUGCCAUUUUGUGGCAAACAUUAGCGCGCACACAUACUGUGAAAAAAUGUGUUGUUGUACUGCAUCCACUUCUGUUGGUUUGAUCUUUCUGGGGGUAUUUUGUGCAGAUAAUCUGAUGUUAAAACGUUUCAGGCGGUUCUCUUCUCUCUGGUUAGUCGAGAGGCACCGGAUUGGUGACCACGUGGUCAAAUAUACGUGUCAAAUAAUCAGCCUGACCUAUUGUACUGAAAGCAGCUGGACUGACAGGUGCUGUCUGAUCUCCGUCAUUCCCCCAAUAAGCCUCCUGUGACGAGCCCGUUUGCCUGUAACUGUGAGAUAAAAUGCAAAUACGACAGAAACAGAAACAUGGGAGGUGUGUUUUGUCUUACAAUCGCCCUCAUUGCAAUUCGGGUUUAUUGGGUUUAUUGUGCGUGUUGUAACAAUGAGGUCAUGAGAGGGUCAUACAUGGAGAAAAAAACCUUAAACUUCAUAACAUGAUAAAAGGAGUCCACAUAAAGUCAAAAGUUUCUGGGGGUUAUUUAUUCUACCAUUAAAGUUUUUUAUUGUUGCUUAUUUUGACUAUUUAAAGGAUUUUUCAGGGACUGUAACAUAAGAUGCAAACAGCUAUUCGUGAUAUUUGUGUCAGAAACCAGAAUUAAGCAAAUCUAAAUGAACGUUUCCCACACAUAAAGUGAUAAUAUAUUUCAAAGGUAUUCUGAGUCAGACGUUUAUCUGAAUAUGUGUCUUAAUCCCUGAUAAAUGGGACAUCGUGGGGUAAUCCUGAAACACAUGGUACAAUGAGCUAGAAAAUGUGUCUUUCUCUUUUUUUGUUCUCAUCCUUCUCCCUCCCUCUCUCUCUCUACUCAUACACAUACGAACACACACACACACACACACACACACACACACACACACACACACACACACGCCGUCCGCUGACCUAACCUGUGCAGCUGCAUCCACAAACAAAGCCCAUCUGGUGAGGUGUGGGGGCCAUUAGCAUACCAUCGUCUCCGGCACAGUCACAGGAAACUCACUGUCAUCAAUACGCCGUGUUCUCUCUCCGUCGUCAUCCAGCAGGCAGAAACAUUCGUUACCAUGGCGACGGCGCUCGUCGCGGCUACAGGUCUACGUGCGUAGAAGCUCAGGUUAUUUUAUCGGAUGGUCGUGGCCUUAUGUUGUGAUGAAGGUCUGGUAGGUAGCCGAGCGAUAAGGUCCAACUCUGAGAAAUCAUAGCUGACCUAUUAAUAGCAGA
Long non-coding RNA from Gasterosteus aculeatus aculeatus (three-spined stickleback), 2125 nucleotides. The record is from Ensembl. Lineage: Eukaryota; Metazoa; Chordata; Actinopteri; Perciformes; Gasterosteidae.